RNAcentral lists this ribosomal RNA (340 nucleotides) under uncultured Caldisericota bacterium. RNAcentral's name for it is "bacterial SSU rRNA". It matches the Rfam family "Bacterial small subunit ribosomal RNA", at positions 29 to 351 of the family's 1533-position model. Lineage: Bacteria; Pseudomonadati; Caldisericota. The record is from RNAcentral.
AAUGAACGCUGGCGGCGUGCUUUACACAUGCAAGUCGAGCGGAGUCAGACCCGAAGGGCAACCGGAGGGACUGGCUCAGCGGCAAACGGGUGAGUAAUGGACAGGUAACGUACCCCCUAGACGUGGAUAGCUCAUCGAAAGAUGAGAUAAUACGCGAUAAUGUUGCAGGGCGAUGGCUCUGCAAAGAAAGCGGGCGCAAGCUCGCGCUUCCGGAUCGGCCUGUCUCCUAUCAGCUUGUUGGUGGGGUAAGAGCCUACCAAGGCGAUGACGGGUAGCUGGUCUUAGAGGAUGGUCAGCCACAUUGGAACUGCGACACGGUCCAGACUCCUACGGGUGGCUG